This is a long non-coding RNA of Mauremys mutica (yellowpond turtle), 752 nucleotides long. RefSeq lists it as uncharacterized. The transcript has 3 exons. The record is from RefSeq and is a predicted model, not a curated record. NCBI's taxonomy places the organism in Eukaryota, Metazoa, Chordata, Testudines, Geoemydidae.
GUAGCCCUCAGGCCUUACAUUGCAAAGCAACCUCUGUAUCUCCUGGAUUAUCUGCUUGUCACUGCCCAAGGCCUGUUGAUUAUCACUUCAUCAAGCAAAAUGAGCACCCAAAUAUGUGAUGAGCUCAUACUGUACAAGUAAGAAGUGAUGAGGACAGAUGCUCCAUUCGUGUGGAGUGCUGUAGUUCCAUUGACUUCAACUGGGGAUCUGCCCCAUCUUAAUCCUGAUGGAGGAUGCUUUACAAUCUAAUUUCAGGCAUGAUGCAACAAAGGGAUGGGAUCAGAAAGGAGAUCCGUGUGUGGAUGUGGAACUGACAUGCCAUAAGGUUAUGAAUAUUGAGCUCUAACCAUUAUAUGAACACUGCAUGUGACCUGGUAAGUGAGAGGAAGUUAUGGUAUAUUGGGAUUAUUGGAAUUUCCUGCAUGACAAUAUUGAUCUAACUAAUAGGGGACUGUGGGAAGAGCAAAAACAGGAAAGUCACAUAAUAAAUCUAGAUAAGGACAUCCCAACACACACUGUGGCAAGCCAUUAGCAUCACUAAUCCUGUCUCUGGCCUCUAAGAAGUAGCAAGUCUAAUUUUGCCAAAGCUGUGAGGCUAGAGAUCAAAAGAACACUGAAGAAUUAAAAGCUUUUGUCAGUGGCAAAAGGGAGUCACUUGUCAGUAGCUGUCUAAGGAGAUCGGCUGACACUGAAAGAGAGACUCUGGGGAGUCUAAACAGUAGGGCCUGCCCAAAUCCAGAGAAGAGCUAGAU